This 2530-nucleotide unclassified non-coding RNA is filed under the name Hevea brasiliensis (rubber tree). The record is from RNAcentral. Lineage: Eukaryota; Viridiplantae; Streptophyta; Magnoliopsida; Malpighiales; Euphorbiaceae.
AAUUUAUCUUCAUCGAUUCCUGUUUUUUUAUUUUAUCCUCAACUUAUAGCUUUCAAUUUCGUCUUGAUUGAAGGUAAAAUUCUUGAGUUGUUUUUGAUUACCCAAAUGGUGCCACGAAGAAGAAAAAGGCACAGCCGAGCGACGAUGGUUCGGCCAGUGACCUUGUCGUCGUUUGCUCGAUCAGUUGCUCAUCUUGCUACAGCUUACACAAGCAAGCGUCAAAAGCUUGACGUGAAACUAAAAAGAUCUCUGCCCAGGGCACCAGCUUCAUUUUGCGUUGGGAGAUGGAUUUGUUAAGCAGUCACCAGAAGAGAAGAGUAAAGAAUCUGAGUCUUCUGAGGACGAAGAGUUCCAAGAUAAUAAAUGUAUCAUGGAGAUCAAGGAGUUCCUCAUCAAAGUUUGUUAGGACAGAAAUGUAAUGGAUGAUUUCAAAUUAAUUUGGGAAGAGCAAGCACAUGAUGUAGGUCUCUUGGUCUCUUAGCGUGUUGCCAAUCUUCCUCCCCAACUUUUACCACCUCUUUAUGAUGCUUUCUUCAAUGAAGUUUCAUGGGCUACAGAAGAUGAGAGGAGCUCAGGAAUGCUUUCUGCUUCAAGUCCUAUUCGAUAGUUGGUAAAAUUUACAAGCACAAGAAUGCAAGCCACAAAAAGGGGGGAAACAGUCAUAAUGACGAAUUGAUAAUAUAUAUUAAGCUUGAAGAUGAAUUUUUUCAUAAGGUACAGAUUCUCUGAUAUCAUUUAUAUAAUGCAUUAUGUUUAUGCUUUCGCUGCUUCUUACUCAAUUCACUGAUUGUUUUCCAAGUGCAUUUCAGCUCUGCUUGUGGUCCUUCUGUUUUCCUUUGCACUCGGAUCAUGUGACAACACAUGAGGCAAGUAAUGUUGCUGUUAUUUUAAUGAUGCUGUAUUGGCGAUUCACAAGAUAAUUUCAAUUUCAAACUGAAUGCCAGUGAUCAGAUGAAGUUAUUGUUGAAAUCAACAGGACUUCUACUUAUAAACUUUGUCUGUUUUUAACUUAAUAUUUCCAGUAAAACCCAACAACCAUGAACUCAGACUACAUAGAUGUAAGCAGCAUUUCACUGUGUUAUUUCACUUAUGUUCUGCAGAGCAAGAGCAUUCAUAUGUUUCUAAAGACAUGCCUCUCCUAUUGGUUUUAUUGCAGUCAAAAUCUAUCCUUUUUUUAGAUGAAAAUAUUCUGCUUUUAUUCAUGCUUUUAAAAUGACAAAAAGAAUUGUUGCUGAUUCAUUAUGGUUUGCCAGGGUCUUUAUGCCACCUAUGGCUUCUGCCUAGGAUGUUAAUCUUUUUGGUUUUGAUUGCCUUUGCAGCUAAGAAAUUACAGGUUAAUGGGGUUAGUCAUGGUUGUUGACGCCAACAAAAUUUCUAUUUUUCAUGAGGAGUUGCACUCUUUGAUUAAUGAACCCUUAAGUCCUUUUGAAGGUGCAUCAACUUCCAAGUUAAUAGCCUCCUAAUUUUCUUGUUUGACAUAUUUGCUAAAAUUUGUUCAAUUUUGUAAUGAUAAGUUGAUCGUCACCGUAUUUAUAGGUUUUAUGGGUUACCAAAGUUUUGAUUUCUUCCUUUACCAGGAGCAACUAAUCGGGUUUGAGGAGGAAUCCUUUUUGCAUUUACAAUAUCCAUCCAACCUUUUAUGAAACAAGUUUAUGGAAUCUUAAAAAUUAACUUUUUAGAUAGGUACGCUAAUAUUUAUUUGUUGGGAUUCUUCUGUGAUUCAAGUUAUUUUCUUUCCCUUUAAUCUAGCUUUUUAUUUUCCUGUUUUGCGCAACCAUCAUGUAUUCACUUUAUCAUGAAGUGACUAUGAAGUCAAUGAUUGCUGGCAAAAAUCUUUAUCAGCAUUGAUAUUCCUGGACGAACAUCUAAUGGCUCUAGUCCAGUUGGCUGGUACCCUAAGUCUCGUGGCUUUGGCAAGAAAAAAGAGAAGUACUCUACUGUCUCAGUUGGAUACUCUCUUUUUUUUUUUAGCACAUCAAAAAUUUUUUAUAAGGGUAAAAGCUGCGUACAUCAAUAGCUCACAAGUGUGCGAUACAUGGUGCAUUGGGUCAUUUGGGUCACUUUUUUUUCAAAUGACUAUUGAGAUUUGAACACAUUAGACCACCAUUGGACUACUAGUACGAUCAGUCCCGCCUAUUGCGACUACCACCAGUGCCAAUAUAAUGAGGAUGUGGUCUGUCUCAUUGACUUGAGUUGCUGAUAAUUCUGCUCAGUUCGGCCUCAACCUAUUUUUAUUCAACAAAGGUCCAGAAUUUUCGGGUUAUGCCGUGAAUGCUUGUAGGCUGUCAGCUUCUAAAUUCUAGGCAUUCCAAAUGAAAUAACCAGACACCAGCACUUCUAUAACUGAAACAAUGGCAUGGGUCUAAUCAGAGAAGUGCUGAUAAAUGCUGUAAGGAGUGAUUCAUUAGAUUCAAUCACUUUAGUAUAUCUAUUAACCCUUCUUCGUUGCAUCUCCAAAGAGAUGAAAACCCAUUUCUUCAAAUCAUUCAGUUGCUUUUAGGCAUGUGAGAUAGAAGGCAUUGAAAUUAAG